Molecule: long non-coding RNA, 1511 nt
Organism: Gallus gallus (chicken)
Lineage: Eukaryota; Metazoa; Chordata; Aves; Galliformes; Phasianidae
Source: Ensembl
AUUUAAGGGCUGUCAGCCAAAGGGGGAGCAUCUCUACUUGAUGAUUUUUUCCUUUGGGAGUUUUUCAGUGAGCUCCUCUCCUCAGAAACUGCUGGGGAAGUACUUGGGAUGAGAUCUUCUGUAAGCCAGAAGUUUGUUCAGCUCACAGGACAGAGUGAUAUGGAGAAUAUGUUCAGGCUAUGGAUGUUCAGCAUUUGAUACAGUUACAAGUAUUUGGUUGAGAGGAGUCUGCACCUUCAGGUGGUCCCAGCUGUAGACUUUAUGCCACAGCCAGCCAUCACACUGUUUGAGUGAUAUCUUAUCACCAGAGGCAACAUCAGCGUGGAAAGAAAGGUGUUCUGCCUGCAUGACACUCAUCUGGAGUGGCAUUACUCAAUACCUUGCAAAAGGUGUGGGAUGCCAGAGAGUUUGAAAAGAUGUUCUCACAGCACCUCACGGUAAUGGAGCAGGAAGGAGGGAAGUGAUUUUGUUGAAUCCUAUAUUUGCAAAUGUGGGUGGAAUUCUCUGAAUAAUUUUGGCUGAAAUGAAGCCUUUGCUCAAUUUCUUCCCCUGCCCUGGGGAAGUGAACUCACAGCCCCAGUGGGACUCCUUCAGUCAGAAGGCUAUCAUUUCUGGGGCAGCGUUCUCUUGUCCCUUCUUUUGCAUAGCAAAAUGUCUCACUGAGUUGGCUAGAAAGAAACAAGACAAGAGAGAGUCCACAUCCCAGAGACUGGGGAACUGUGUGGGAAACAUUUAGCUGACUUUCCAAUAAAACAGCCAGAAAAUGGAGUCAAACCAAGGGCUGCCAUUUGUUCACCUGGCCUCAGAGCCAAAGCAGUUCAGGCGACAUCCACUCUGGUAGUUGGACUUCACCAGGAGAGAAUAACUGCAAAACAGCAAAAAAUCAUGAUAUUGAACCCUGUCUCAGAGAGAAGUACAAAUGUGAGUGCAACAGGCUCACCAGGGCAGUGGCCACAGCUCCAAGUGGACAGAGUUCAAGAAGCAUAAGACAUAGGGUCUGAUCUUUAGGUAGUCCCGUGUGGAGCCACAAGUUGGACUUGGUGGCCCUAAGAUGGAGCCCUGUAGAACCCCACUUGUAACUGGCUGCCAGCCUCAUGUAAGCCCUUAUUAUAACUCGUGGAGCCUGAUCUGUCAUCCAGCUGUUCACCCAUUACAUUACGUUUUUGUCUAGCUGGACAUCUUGUCCAGAAAGAUACUGUGAGAAUAAUGUAUGAAAGAAAAAAAAUCUUGUUAAAAAUAUGUGGCCCAAUACAUUACAGCCCUUAUGCAUCAUGAAAUUUUCUUGCUUUAUGACACAGAACAUCAUAAAAUUAAAUUGGUUGUCCAGAUGCUCAGAUCAAAUAUAUUUGAAAAGAAAUCAUAUUAUCUAGUUUUACAUAAUAUGUAGAUUGAAACCAAACUUGAAAUUUAUGGCAUGUGAUACAAGGUUAGAUAAAUAUUCUGCAAUGAAUAUAAUUAGAUUUUCUUUUUCCAAAACUUAAUUGAAUGGCAUUAAAGCUUCUUGCAAAAUC